RNAcentral lists this ribosomal RNA (497 nucleotides) under uncultured bacterium. RNAcentral describes it as "partial 16S ribosomal RNA". It matches the Rfam family "Bacterial small subunit ribosomal RNA", at positions 28 to 507 of the family's 1533-position model. The record is from RNAcentral.
GAUGAACGCUGGCGGCGUGCCUAAUACAUGCAAGUCGAGCGAACAGACGAGGAGCUUGCUCCUCUGACGUUAGCGGCGGACGGGUGAGUAACACGUGGAUAACCUACCUAUAAGACUGGGAUAACUUCGGGAAACCGGAGCUAAUACCGGAUAAUAUAUUGAACCGCAUGGUUCAAUAGUGAAAGACGGUUUUGCUGUCACUUAUAGAUGGAUCCGCGCCGCAUUAGCUAGUUGGUAAGGUAACGGCUUACCAAGGCAACGAUGCGUAGCCGACCUGAGAGGGUGAUCGGCCACACUGGAACUGAGACACGGUCCAGACUCCUACGGGAGGCAGCAGUAGGGAAUCUUCCGCCAUGGGCGAAAGCCUGACGGAGCAACGCCGCGUGAGUGAUGAAGGUCUUCGGAUCGUAAAACUCUGUUAUUAGGGAAGAACAAAUGUGUAAGUAACUGUGCACGUCUUGACGGUACCUAAUCAGAAAGCCACGGCUAACUACGUG